This 1197-nucleotide ribosomal RNA is filed under the name Pseudopassalora gouriqua. RNAcentral's name for it is "LSU rRNA". It matches the Rfam family "Eukaryotic large subunit ribosomal RNA", at positions 65 to 1111 of the family's 3401-position model. The record is from RNAcentral. Lineage: Eukaryota; Fungi; Ascomycota; Dothideomycetes; Pleosporales.
CCAACAGGGAUUGCCUCAGUAACGGCGAGUGAAGCGGCAACAGCUCAAAUUUGAAAGCUGGCCCCCCCGGGGUCCGCGUUGUAAUUUGCAGAGGAUGCCUCGCGGACGGCGCCGCCCUAAGUCCCUUGGAACAGGGCGUCACAGAGGGUGAGAGUCCCGUAUGUGGGCGGACGCCCGACGCGUGUGAGGCUCCUUCGACGAGUCGAGUUGUUUGGGAAUGCAGCUCUAAUCGGGAGGUAAAUUUCUUCUAAAGCUAAAUAUCGGCCGGAGACCGAUAGCGCACAAGUAGAGUGAUCGAAAGAUGAAAAGCACUUUGAAAAGAGAGUCAAACAGCACGUGAAAUUGUUGAAAGGGAAGCGCUUGCAAUCAGACUCGCCCGCGGUUGAUCAGCCGUCGUUCUCGACGGCGCACUCUGCCGCGGUCGGGCCAGCAUCGGUUCGGGCGGCCGGAGAAAGGCGGCGGGAAUGUAGCUCCCCCCGGGGAGUGUUAUAGCCCGCCGCGGAAUGCGGCCUGUCCGGACCGAGGUCCGCGCUUCGGCUAGGAUGCUGGCGUAAUGGUUGUAAGCGGCCCGUCUUGAAACACGGACCAAGGAGUCUAACACCCACGCGAGUGUUCGGGCGUAAAACCCGUGCGCGCAAUGAAAGUGAACGGAGGCGGGAGCCUUUUGGCGCACCGUCGACCGAUCCGGAUGUCUUCGGAUGGAUUUGAGUAAGAGCGUGGUUGUUGGGACCCGAAAGAUGGUGAACUAUGCCUAAAUAGGGCGAAGCCAGAGGAAACUCUGGUGGAGGCUCGCAGCGGUUCUGACGUGCAAAUCGAUCGUCAAAUUCGGGCAUAGGGGCGAAAGACUAAUCGAACCAUCACGGCAUCUUGCCAGUGCGAUGUCCCCGUCGCUACUAGGUGGUUGAGAGGGCGACACCAGCCCUAGUCCCUGCGCGCAGCGCGCGCGGGGGCGACGCCGUCAAAUUGCGGGGACGCCCUUAGAGCCCUGGUCACCGCGGCCCGCCCGAAAGGGCGGGCGACAGCACCGGACGUAGUGGUCCGGGGAUGGUAACAGCACCAGGGAUUGGGCGAUCCGCAGCCAAGUCCCCCGGAAAACCGGUGGGAUGCAGUCCACUGAUCAAAUGUCGGCGGCUAGUAUCGUCUUACUAGGCAAGAUAUGAUCGAGACCCGCUCGAAAGUGCCGGGUAUGGGCAUCGA